Grus americana (Whooping crane) is the source of this 2732-nucleotide long non-coding RNA. RefSeq lists it as uncharacterized. Lineage: Eukaryota; Metazoa; Chordata; Aves; Gruiformes; Gruidae. The record is from RefSeq and is a predicted model, not a curated record. The transcript is spliced from 9 exons.
CAGGGCAGCCCAAAAUGAUGGAGGCCGGGUGAGCAAGCGGCUGAGGUGCUGCAGGGAGCCUCGGAGGGGCGAAGCGGCGUGUCAAUGAGCGGUCCCAGAAGGAGCCGUGUGGCCACUGUUGGAACUGGAUACGCAUUUGAGGCGCCACAGGCGAUGACAGCCACGGUGUCUGUCUCUGGAAGGAGCAGCUGAUGAAGAGGAACCAAGUGACUGCAGGGCCGUCCUGGUUUGCCAAUGCGCGGCACGCAGGUUUUCUGCUGUGGAUGGUUCCAGAUGCCCGGCCCUCUGAAAGCUAAGGCACAAGCUUUAGCGUGGCAACAUGUAAAUGGCAGAGGGGGCAAGGACAAGUGGCUGAGGUGCCGCAGGGAGCCUCGGAGGGGCAAAGCCAUAUGCCGAUGAGCGGUCCGAGAAGGUGCUGUGUGGCCACGUUUGGAACUGGAUGCCCGUUUGAGUAUUUUAAUUGUCGGUGAUGAAGAGGAACCAGUCAGCAUCUUCUGUUGCAGAUGGUUCUAGAUCCUUGGCCCUCCUAAAGCUAAGUUGAGGGACUGCAGCUGGGGAGGGAGUGGGAUGAGGUUGGGAGUUGCAGGGGAGGGGUUUUAAAGUUUAGUGUAGGGGAGAGGGCUGACCAGGAGCUGUCCCCUUUGGGCAGGCAAAGGGAGCAGGUUACUUGUCAGCACUGUGCUAGACUGUGCUGGGCAGGGCAGUUCCAGCCUGUGUCUGUGGCAUGUUUGUUGUGUGUCUUGUCUUCUGUGUCUUAGCCCUUCCUCUGGUCUCAAUGCCCUAUUUGUGAUCAAGGGGCAUGGCAUGCUUCUCAGGUGCCAUCGCUAGGAUCUCAAAUGCCCAUACUCAUCGGCAUAGUGCCAAUUGGGUGCUUCUUUGAUUGCAUAGCCAGCCUUACAGCCUGGAUGGAUCUUGUGUCUCAGAAGUUUUUGGUGGGUCUUCUUUUUGCAGCCUCUUUGCAUGCUGCGUCAGGAGAGCUGACAUUUACAGCCAUCCAUUUUAACAGAAUGGGGCUUCCUCCCUGCAUCCUUACAUUCUUAGGUCUUGAACACAGGCUUCUUGCCACCUCUGUCCUGUUGUUUUUGACGGUAACUUCUUAUAAUGGGCCAUUACAGUCCAUCCUUUUCUGGCAUUGCUAUAGGGCUUGCUGGCCUGGGUGUUGUACUCUGUAGGUAGUCUUGCUCGGCAGUGUCUCUGGUCAGGCAGUCCUUCUUGCUGAGAGUUUUCUCUCCUCAUCCUUGAGUCACAUUCUUUAUAGCGUUGGUCUUCGCAUGCGUUGUGGUGGGUUGACCCUGGCUGGGGGCCAGGUGCCCACCAGAGCUGCUCUCUCACUUCCCUCAUUCACCAAACAGGGGAGAAAAGGCAUAACGAAAUGCUUGUAGGUUGAGAUAAGGACAGGGAGAGAUCACUCACUAAUUAUCAUCAUGAGCAAAACAGACCAAACUUAGAGAGGGAAUUCAUCUAAUUUAUUACUAGGCAAAACAGAGUAGAGGAAUGAGAAAAUAAAAUCAACUCUUAAAACACUUCCCCCCACCCCUCCCAUCUUCCCGGGCUCAACUUCACUCCCGGCUUCAACCUUCCCCCCCUCAGUGGCACAGGGGGACGGGGAAUGGGGGUUACGGUCAGUUCAUCUCAUGGUGUUUCUGCCGCUUCUUCAUCCUCAGGGGGAGGACUCCUCUCAUCGUUCCCCUGCUCCAGCAUGGAGUCCCUCUCAUGGGGUGCAGACCUUCAGGAGCAAACUGCUCCAGCGUGGGGUCCCAAGUCCUGCCAGCAAACCUGCCCUGGCGUGGGCUCCCCUCUUCACGGGUCCACCGGUCCGGCCUGGAACUUGCUCCAGCGUGGGCUUCCCACGGGCCGCAGCUUCCUUCAGGUGUCUCCACCUGCUCCGGUGUGGGGUCCUCCACGGGCUGCAGGUGGAAUCGCUACACCCCCUCAUCCUUCCUCCAUGGGCUGCAGGGGGACAGCCUGCUUCACCAUGGUCUUCACCACGGGCUGCAGGGGGAUCUCUGCUCCGGCACCUGGAGCUCCUCCUCCCCCUCCAUCUGCACUGACCUUGGUGUCUGCAGAGUUUCUUACAUCUUCUCACUCCUCUCUCCGGCUGCAAAAGCUCUCUCUCUCUAAGUGUUUUUCUUCUUAAAUAUGUUAUCACAGAGGCACUGAUUGGCUUGGCCUUGGCCAGCGGCGGGCCUGUCUUAGAGCUGGCUGGCAUUGGCUCUGUCAGACACGGGGAGCUUCUAGCAGCUUCUCACAGAAGCCACCCCUGUAGCCCCCCCGCUACCACAACCUUGCCAUGCCAACCCAACACAUGCGUGCAUUUUGUCGUGGAGCUGCUCUGCCCUGGGUUGUUGAGUCAGGGUUAGGUGGAAUAGCCAUAAGAGUGUAGGGUUAGUAUGUUGAUAUGCCCAGACUGCUUGGGCAAAGGUUGUGUAGUUGCCUCAGAUGGAGUAGCUGUUGCCAGGCUGUGUUGGAGAGUCAUUUCCAUAGUGGUCUGUGGACAUGAUGGGAGCUGCCUGGGAGGGGCUAUUCAGGGGUGAUAAAAGCAGAUUGACUCUCAAAGGGGUGAAAGGCCUGUCUGUGUGGGGCUGAAAGUUUGGGGUUUUUUUCUUCUAAUUGCAGUGUGUAGUUGGACUGUAGAUGCCAUUUGAAAUUGUUCAGCUAUUGCUCUGCAUCCUGGUGCGUUCUUGUUAUGGUUUAGCCCCAGCUGGUAGCUGAGCACCAUGUGAUUUUUUUUU